Molecule: long non-coding RNA, 1231 nt
Organism: Gambusia affinis (western mosquitofish)
Lineage: Eukaryota; Metazoa; Chordata; Actinopteri; Cyprinodontiformes; Poeciliidae
Exons: 8
Source: RefSeq, a predicted model, not a curated record
GCGUCUUGUACUUGACUAAUUAGUAGGCGGCCAGAGCGCCACGUUUGAAAUCGCUGUGUUGGUUAUUCGAGCAGCACACAAGAAGAGACCCAGCCAUGACCUAUCAGCAGCAGUUUGUUUGGUUGCUGGCGUCCCUGAAACAUCUGAGGCAAUAUACUACAAUCAAGCUGAUUAUCGCUUCAAUCAAGCUGAGGAGUCGCUUCCGUCAAGCUGAGGAUUCCCUACAUGGUGCCUGGCGGAUCCGCCCGACCCAUCAAAGUGACGACAAAAACCGUCAAGACAAACCACUCAUGGUGAGAAACGUUCUCAAGUGCCCCACCCACUCCCCGACUGCUGCCGAAAAUGACCGAUGGAAAAAGCCUUCAUCACCCCAACUACUGAUGGAUGACCUCAGUUAGCCUGCCAUCGGCUUCAGAAGUCUUACUCAAGAAAUGCUGCAGUAAUCCUCCUGGAUCACCUGGUUUUUCAUCUCUGAUUACGCCCUUCAUUGGACCCUCAUCGAUCGUUGUAGGGUUCAGCCGUCUUCCUCAAGAAAUGCUGCAGGAAACCUCCUGGAUCACCUGGUUUUCCAUCUCUGAUUACGCCCUACAUUGGAACCUCAUCGGAACCUCAUGGACCGAUGGUAAAGGCUCUCAUCUCUCCAACGACAAUAAAAAAGGCCCUCGUUGCCCCCCCCCCCCAACCCAAUCCCCUGCUGAUGGAUGAUCUUAAUUAUCCUAUCUGUCUCAGUGGUCUUCCUCAAGAAAUGCUUCAGCAGUAAUGCUGCAGGAAUCCUCCUGGAUCACCUGGUUUUUCAUCUCUGAUUACGCCCUUCAUCGGACCCUCAUCGAGCGACGGAAAAGGCUCUCAUCUCCCCAACGACAACUGAAAAGAUCCCCCCACCCCCCACCCCCGGACCAGCCAAAUCCCCUGCUGAUGGAUGACCUUAAUUAUCCUACCAUCGGUCUCAGUGGUCUGCCUCAAGAAAUGCUGCAGGAACACUCCUGAAUCAUUGCCCCAACAACAACAGAAAAGAACCUCAUCGCCACCCUGCUGAUGACAUUAGUGACCCUACCAUCGGGUUCAGCCAUCUUUCUCAAGAAAUGUUGCAGGAAUCCUCCUGGAUCACCUGGUUUGUCAUCUCUGAUUAUGCCCCUCAUCGGAACCUCAUCGGCAGAUAGAGGAAAAUGGCUGAACUUAAAACAUUUAUCAAAACGACUUCAGUUUCUUUUCUUUUUUCCUUUCUACCAAA